GACGAGGUACUUAAUGACAAAGCGGGAGGUGAGGCCAGGUUUCCGAGAUUACUGUCUGAUGUGUCAAUGCUGCAGGCGCCACACCGGGGCCACCAGCGGCUCUUCAGCCUGGUCAGAGCAGUCACGUGGGGAGCCUUGAAAAGAUCCGGGUGCCAGAGCCACCCUUGGAGAGGCGGGUGCAUUUGGUGUGAGGCAGAGCGCAGGCAGCGAUGCAUCGUGGGAGAUCCUCGGGUGGUCCUAGCCUGCGGCCAGGGUUGAGAGCUGCUGGGCUGAAUGAAUGAAUGCAUGACCCAUCCUGCCCCAGGACAGACCAGCAGAGAUGGGCACGGGCUUUGCAGGAUGGACUGGGCUUGAGGCCCACUUCCCUUCAGUGACCCGGCGAGGAAGACUCGAUGGCAGACCCAGGCUCUGGAAGGACAUGGAGGCUCAGAGAGGUAAGGGGACCUGCCCGAGGCAGGUGCCGACAGUCCAGGAUUUACCUGACGCUCAAGGUUAAAGCUUUGUGAGUAUCUUGCAUCCAGAAGACGGAAGUCAGAGUGAUGGUCCCUGGGAAGGAGGAAGCUCCAGGUGCCGCAUGGUUUCCAGAUGCAUGGUUUCCAGAUGUCACACUGCGAACCGAGGAAGCCUAAGAAAUAACAAUACCUCUUUCAGAACGAGUGUGGCAGUUUACUGAGACUUGGGGCGUAUCCAAAACCAGGCACCUUCCCAGAAAAGAGCAGCGUCAGUCGGGAUCCUGCUUUAAAAGAAAGAGAUCCUUCACCACAGGAAGACAGCCAUGAAACCCCCAUUCAGCAGGAAAGGCGAGGCCCGCCAGCUUCCCCAGGGGAUGGAAGGAGGCGUGGCCGUGGAGCGGGCCUGUGCACAGGACAGACAGCGCCAAAACGUCGACUCUGCAAAUUAGUUACAGAGGCCCACCUCGCGAAAUUGCGCAAGACCCAGACCUGGCGUACUGUGGGACCUAGUGUCAAGACCCCGCCCACCUUGAAGACAGUUAUGGAUGGAGAUAAGAACAGUUUCCUGCCCGAACCUUUCCUUCUCAGGAGCACUUAAAUUGACCUUCGUUGGAAGAUGACAGGUGAACAGAGCAACAUUUACUUGUUCCCAUGAAGAAAUCAUAUGAUGCUCAGCAGGUGGCUUUGGCGUUUGGUCGUUAUGGUGUGACAGCAUCAUGGCCACGGGGUUUUUAUAAUAGAGAUUAUAUAUUAUAAGGAUA
Long non-coding RNA from Myotis myotis, 1213 nucleotides. RefSeq lists it as uncharacterized. The record is from RefSeq and is a predicted model, not a curated record. Lineage: Eukaryota; Metazoa; Chordata; Mammalia; Chiroptera; Vespertilionidae. The transcript has 3 exons.